Mytilus californianus (California mussel) is the source of this 3448-nucleotide long non-coding RNA. RefSeq lists it as uncharacterized. The record is from RefSeq and is a predicted model, not a curated record. The transcript has 2 exons. Lineage: Eukaryota; Metazoa; Mollusca; Bivalvia; Mytilida; Mytilidae.
GGAAGAUUGAAACUAUUAUUCCACUUCUUUCCUAUGUCAUCACCUCACAAACCAGGAUGUAGCAAUAUUAGCCAUUCAACAUAAAUAUAUGUAUAAUGUACCCAAUACUUAUCAUGUCUACGUAAAUAUGCACAAAUGAAAAGAUGUUGACUUCUAUGUUAUUUUGGUCUCUGGUCUCAUUAACAAUCAUACCACAUCUUCUUAUUAUAUGCCCGUCAAAAAUGGUAUACAAACGUCGUCUGUCCGUCUGUCUGUACGGUGUAAACAUGUCGCACCGUAACUUGAGAACGACUUAUCCAAAUUUCAUGAAACUUAAUAUAGUUGUUUCUUUUGAUGGUCAAACGAUCUGCAUACUUUUUGGUGAAAAUAAGAUUAAAACUUUUUGAGUUACGGGACUUAGUAACUAAAUCAGGUGUGUGUUUUUUUUCAAAUGUCGCGACGUAUCUCAAAAAACAAUUUAUGAUUAUUGCUUAAAACUUUACACACUUCUUAGUUAUAUUAAUCUUAAGAUUUGUAUACUUUUUGGUGAUGAUUCAAAAUUUUAUUUUUGAGUUAUUGAGUAUUUUGUAAAAAAAGGGGGAGGGGUUUUUCACAUGUCGUGCCGUAUCUCAAAAACAAUUUAUGUUUAUUGCUUAAAAUUUUACACACUUCUUAGUUAUAUUAAUCUAAAUUUCUGUAUACUUUUUGGUUUUCAUUCAAAAUUUUAUUUUAGAGAUAUUGAUUUUUUUUUUAAAAAGGGUGGUUUUCACAUGUCGCGCCGUAUCUCAAAAACGAUUUAUGAUUAUUGCUUAAAAUUUUACACACUUCUUAGUUUUAUUAAUCUUAAGAUCUGUAUACUUUUUGGUUUUGAUUCAAAAUUUCAUUUUUAGAGAUAUUUUUAGUUUUUUGUAAAAAAAAAAGGGGGGUUUUCGCAUGUCGCGUCGUAUGUCGGAAACUAUUUAUGAUUAUUGCUUAAAAUUUCACACACAAGACGACGGGCGUAUCAUGCGCUCAUGGCGCAGCUGUUUAUUUUUAGCUCACCUGGCCCAAAGGGGCAAGUGAGCUUUUCUCAUCACUUGGCAUCCGUCGUCCGUCGUCGUCGUUAACUUUUUAUACGACCGCAAAAAUUGAAAAUUUUUUGGUCGUAUAUUGGUAUGACGUUGGCGUCGUCGUCGUCGUCGUCGUCCGGCGUCGUCUGGCGUCGUCCGAAGACACAUUGGUUUUCGCACUCUAACUUUAGUUUAAGUGAAUGGAUCUCCAUGAAAUUUUACCAUAAGGUUCAAUACCACGAAAGGAAGGUGGGGAUUGAUUUUGGGGGUUGUGGUACCAACAGCUAAGGAAUUAGGGGCCAAAAAGGGGCCAAAUAUAAGCAUUUUUGUAACUUCCAGACAAUAACUUGUGUGUAAGUGUAUGGAUCUCUCUGACAUUGUACCACAAGGUUCCAUAUCACAAAGGGAAGGCUGUAAUUGAUUUUGGGGGUAAUUGCCUCAAAAUUUUAGGAAUUAGGGGCCAAAAAAGGGGCAAAAAACAAGCAUUUUUCUAGUUUCAUGACAAUAACUUGUGUGUAAGUGUUUGGAUAUUUCUGAAAUUGUACUACAAGGUUCCAUAUCACAAAGGGAAAGCUGGAAUUGAGUUUGGGGGUAAUUGUCCGAAACGUUUAGGAAUUGGGGGCCAAAAAGGGGCCAAAAAUAAGCAUUUUUCUAGUUUCCAGACAAUAACUUGUGUUCAAGUGUAUGGAUCUCUCUGAAAUUGUACUGCAAGGUACCAUACCACAAAGGGAAGGCUGGGAUUGAGUUUGGGGGUGAUGAAUCAUAAGGGGGUUCAAAAAAUUUGGGGGGGGGGAUUUUUUUUUUUCUUUUUUUUUCUUUUUUUCCUUUUUUUUUCCUUUUAAAAUUUUCCAUUUUAAGUUGGUUAUUUCUGAUUAAUAUUUAAAAGCAAAUAAUAAUGAUAUGGUAGGAGAUACACACCAAACAGGAUGUGUAAAUUAUUAUAUAAUAAGUAUUGUGCAAUAGCAAGAAAUUUUCAAUUGCACAGUAUUGCACAAUUGCAAGAAAUCUUCAAUUGCACAGUAUUGCGCAAUAGCAAGAAAUCUUCAAUUGCACAGUAUUGCGCAAUAGCAAGAAAUAUCCAAUAGCACAAUAUUGCGCAAUAGCAAGAAAUUGUCAAUUGUACAGUAUUGCACAAUAGCAAGAAAUAUUCAAUUGCACAGUAUUGUGCAAAAGAAGAUACUUCGUAUAAAUUGCUUAUUUCUUGAUCAAUUUCAAUGGGGUUUUAUUCUUGAAUUCUUGGGGUUCUUUAAUAUGCUGAAUCUAACCGUGUAUUAAGGUUUUGGAUUUUGGGCCCCGUUUUUAAAUUGGUCCACAUUGAGGUCCAAAGGGUCCAAAAUUAAACUUUGUUUGAUUUCAUCAAAAAUUGAAUUAUUGGGGUUCUUUGAUAUGCCGAAUCUAACCGUGUAUUUAGAUUCUUAAUUUUUGGUUCCGUUUUCAAAUUGGUCUACAUUAAGGUCAAAAGGGUCCAAAAUUAAACUUAGUUUGAUUUUAACAAAAAUUGAAUUUUUAGGGUACUUUGAUAUGCUGAAUCUAAACAUGUAUUUAGAUUUUUGAUUAUGGGCCCAGUUUUCAAGUUGGUCCAAAUCGGGGUCCAAAAUUAAACUUUGUUUGAUUUCAACAAAAAUUGAAUAUAUGGGGUUCUUUGAUAUGCUGAAUCUAACCAUGUAUUUAGAUUUUUGAUUUUUGGGCCCCGUUAUCAACUUUGUCCACAUUGAGGUCAAAAGGGUCCAAAAUUAAACUUUGUUUGAUUUCAUCAAAAAUUGAAUUCUUGGGGUUCUUUGAUAUGCUGAAUCUAACCAUGUAUUUAGAUUUUUUAUUUGUGGACCCGCUAUCAAAUUGGUUCAUAUUGAGGUCAAAAGGGUCCAAAAUUAAACUUUGUUUGAUUUCAUCAAAAAUUGAAUUAUUGGGGUUCUUUGAUAUGCCAAAUCUUACCGUGUUUUUAGAUUUUUAAUUUUGGGUCCCGUUUUUUAAAUUGGUCUACAUUAAGGUCCAAAGGGUCCAAAAUUAAACUUAGUUUGAUUUUAACAAAAAUUGAAUUCUUGGGGUACUUUGAUAUGCUGAAUCUAAACAUGUGUUUAGAUUUUUGAUUAUGGGACCAGUUUUCAAGUUUGUCCAAGUUGGGGUCCAAAAUUAAACUUUGUUUGAUUUCAACAAAAAUUGAAUAUAUGGGGUUCUUUGAUAUGCUGAAUCUAACCAUGUAUUUUGAUUUUGGACAUUGGACCAUAAUAGGUAAAUUAAAAAAAUUGAAGUUCUUAGACCACAUUCUUUCUGUGUCAGAAACCUAUGCUGUGUCAAAUAUUUAAUCACAAUCCAAAUUCAGAGCUGUAUCAAGCUUGAAUGUUGUGUCCAUACUUGACCCAACUGUUCAGGGUUCGACCUCUGCGGUCGUAUCAAGCUGCGCCCAGCGAAGCAUUUUAUUA